GGUGGGGUUCCCGAGCGGCCAAAGGGAGCAAACUGUAAAUCUGCCGUCAUCGACUUCGAAGGUUCGAAUCCUUCCCCCACCACCA
Molecule: transfer RNA, 85 nt
Filed under: Escherichia coli
Lineage: Bacteria; Pseudomonadati; Pseudomonadota; Gammaproteobacteria; Enterobacterales; Enterobacteriaceae
Also listed under: 3 other names
Description: tRNA-Tyr
Rfam family: tRNA
About the family: Transfer RNA (tRNA) molecules are approximately 80 nucleotides in length. Their secondary structure includes four short double-helical elements and three loops (D, anti-codon, and T loops). Further hydrogen bonds mediate the characteristic L-shaped molecular structure. tRNAs have two regions of fundamental functional importance: the anti-codon, which is responsible for specific mRNA codon recognition, and the 3' end, to which the tRNAs corresponding amino acid is attached (by aminoacyl-tRNA synthetases). tRNAs cope with the degeneracy of the genetic code in two manners: having more than one tRNA (with a specific anti-codon) for a particular amino acid; and 'wobble' base-pairing, i.e. permitting non-standard base-pairing at the 3rd anti-codon position.
Source: RNAcentral